Panicum virgatum (switchgrass) is the source of this 6310-nucleotide RNA transcript. RefSeq lists it as uncharacterized. Lineage: Eukaryota; Viridiplantae; Streptophyta; Magnoliopsida; Poales; Poaceae. The transcript is spliced from 9 exons. The record is from RefSeq and is a predicted model, not a curated record.
AAAACCUGCCCCCGUUUGCUUCUCCCUCCGCUGUUCACGCAAAAAGAUGGACUCCGCUGUUCACGCAAAAAGAUGGACGCGUAUCGAUCAGCCGUUCACCGCGACCUUCUCCGCGCGACCGCGCCGCGCCUACUUCCACCAGCGCCACGGAGCACGUAGACCGCGACUCCGCUUCUGCCAUUGCGCCACGACCUUCUCCGCGCGCCCUCCUCCCGCGAAGCGGUGCGGCCUCCUCCCUCCUCCCGCGCAAGGGCGCAGGGGCCCCACGGCUCGCGGCCUCCGCCGCCGCAGGGGCGAGGCCUCCUCCCGGCUCCCACGCAAGGGGCCCACGGCGCAGCGCCUUGGGCUGCGGCUCCCCGGGGCUCGCGGCCUCCUCCCCCGCAGGGGCGCGGCCUCCUCCCGGCUCCCGCACAAGGGGCCCACGGCGCAGCGCCUUGGGCAGCGGCUCCCCGGGCACGGGCGGUGCCUCCGCGCGCGCAGCGGCGCGGCCUCCUCCUGGCUCCCGCGGAGGGACGCAGGGGCCAUGGCGCGACGCCUUGGCCUGCGGCUCCCGUUCGCCUGGCACACAGAGGAGCACACAGACGUGAAGACCAAUAGAGGAGCGGGGGAAAACGAUUCGCUCUCUGAAGAUUCGCUCCGUCCAUCACUGUGUCCCGUCGGAACAGUCGCAACCGGCGCCGCGCGGCGGCCGUACGCGCGUGCCCUCCCUCCUCUCACCGAUGUCGAGGCUGUCCCAUCGGAGUUACUGGGCGAGGCCGCGCGUCCCAGCAGGGUUGGGAGGGCGGGAGGGCGCGGGCACCCGGGCCUCGAUUUGCACCCCGGCCGUCGUCGAGAUAAGAUCCUCCUCCCCAUUCCUUAUCGCCUCCUCCACUUUCUUCUCCCUCGCUCCGGUUCCAAACCCUAGCUUUUGGUUCCCCGCUCCCAUCCUCGGCUUAUUUUCCCUAUCCAGACCGCAGCAUACAGAUAUGUGAGAUUCGUCCGUCCCCUGCAUCUUUGCCCAUUCUUGCUGCUUCGAAUUUGAAGUGGCUUGAUCUAAUCUGCGGUUCUCUGGUGUUCUUAUGCAGGUGCAUAGCCGGCCAUGGCGUUCGUCACCUAGCCAUAGGAGCAGCCAUCAGUACAGGAAGGUCAUCCAUUGCUGAAGAAAGAAUCGUGUGUUGCUGUCAAGUUGCUGCUUUCUGAUGUGGGGACCCGCGAAGUGAUGACUGGGUCUCCGUGUGAGAGAGUCGCACGAUGUCGUGAGAAGGUUCAAAGGAGGAAGUUUGCUGUUACACAAGGUUCUCUUCCGCAGAUUGUUCCUGCCACCAGCAGUGAGCCUUCUUGCCUUGGUGAUCUUCCAGGGCCAUCCAACCAGCCAUGCACAUUUCAGCCAGCAGGCCCAUGUGAUCUUUUGCCGGUUUCUCGAAAGAGGACGAGAGGAAAGUCCUUGAUGGACUUCCCUGCAGAAAUUGCCACUUUAAACCGACGCCUUCGGAUCAGCAGGAUGCGAAGUAAGAGGUCCUCUGAUUGUGAUGUUUCUGUGCCUGUGACGCUCCCUCUUGAUAGAGGCCGCAUAGAAGAGUUGAAAGGUUUGUAGGUAUUUUAUUUUGAACUUGCUUGGAGAAUGAUUUUCUUGGUGUUAUGCCUAUAGCCCUGACUUUUCAUUGUGCGCCUGUAGAAACCUUCCCAGAACGGUCCUACUAUGGUGGCCCAACGCAUGAGUGCCCAUACUGUAGUGCUGCCUUUUGGUUCCAGGAGCGAGUGAAGACCGCUUCCAUUGUAUCCAAAAAAAAUUGUGUAUAACCUUUGCUGUAGGGGAGGCAAAAUUAAUCUAAAAUCUUUUAAGAAGCCACCAGCUCCCCUGGCUGACUUGCUAAGAUUCGAUGGCAAUGCACGUUCAAAGCGAUUCCUUAGGCAGAUUCGAUCAUAUAAUUCUUUGUUUGCAUUCACCUCUUUGGGUGCAGCUGUGGAUAAAAUGAUAAAUAAUGGCACUGCUCCUUAUGUAUUCAAAAUAAAUGGAGUUGUUCACCAUUGUAUUGGUUCCCUAAUGCCGCACAACGGCUCACGACCAAAAUUUGCACAACUUUAUAUAUACGAUACUGAACACGAGGCGCAGAACCGUUUAGGCUUGUUUGAGGCUGAUGGUAAUGCUGCUAACCAGCCAGACCCAAAGGUAGUGUUGUCCCUAUUAGAGAUGUUAGAUGAGCAUAACAACCUUGUCAAAGCAUUCCGAUAUGCUAGAGAACGGUUAGAACAGGAGGGAGACCAAAAAGUGACAUUGAGGCUAUUGGGCUGUAACUCAAGGCAGGAUGUUCAAUACAACCUUCCAGCGAGUGGUGAAAUUGCAGCGAUAAUAGUGGGUGACUAUUCAGCUGAUGAGUACACUUAUGAUGUCCUUGUGCAUGAUAGGAAUCGUGGGUUAAAGCGUGUUUCAUGUUUGCACCCAUGUUACAUGGCUCUGCAGUAUCCAUUGUUGUUUCCUUAUGGUGAGCACGGCUACCAUCUUGGCAUUAGGUAUACAAACGCAGAGGAAGAGGGUACUCUUCGUAAAUAUGUCACGAUGCUUGAGUUCGGUAGAUUCCAUAUGCACUACAGGCUAAAUGAAGCGAAUCCUUUCACUUGCUAUGGUAGGUUGAGUGACCAAAUAGCUGUUGAUUUCUUCUCCACAGUUGAGGGUUCUAGGCUAAAGUUUAUAGCUGACCACCAAAAAGAGCUGAGAUACGAAUCUGUUCAGGGAAUAGCCGAUGCGAUUGAUAAGGGUUUUACUAAUGCGGAUUCUGUUGGUGGUAGAUUUGUUGUGCCUGCAAGUUUUACUGGUGGGAGGAGGUAUUAUGUGAUGAACUACCAAGAUGCGAUGGCCAUAUGCAGGGUCUAUGGCCCUCCUGAUCUUUUUGUGACCUUUACAUGCAACACAAAGUGGAGAGAGAUGGCAGAUGCUUUGCGAUAUGAGCCUGGCUAGCUGCCUUGUGAUCGGUCAGAUUUAAUUGUAAGGGUUUUCCAUAUGAAAGUUGACAAAUUCAUAGAUGAUAUUAGGGAGGGUCGGACAUUUGGUGCAGUGCGUGCAGGUGAGACAUAAUUUAGAGUAGCCGUGCAUACUGCUCUUCUGUUUUUAUUGUUAGUAUGUCUUAUAUGUGCCAUUGCUUAUGCAGUUUUGUACACUGUUGAGUUCCAAAAGCGUGGCCUGCCUCAUAUACAUUGCCUUGUGUAGUUGGCUGAACCAAAUUCAGAGUUUAGUGCUUCCAUCAUUGAUGGUUUUAUGAUACAUGGUCCAUGUGGCGAUGACAACAAAAAAUGUCCAUGCAUGAAAGACAACAAGUGUUCAAAGAAUUUUCCUAAAUCAUUUCAGGAUGAGACAAUUGUAGAUGACUUUGGUUUUACUAUCUACAAGCGUAGAAACGAUGGCAGACAUGUUGUGAAGAAUGGCGUCAGGCUAGAUAACAGGAAUGUUGUUCCAUAUAACAAGAACCUCCUUAAAAAGUACAAUGCACACAUCAAUGUGGAAUGAUGUAACAAAUCUAACAUGAUCAAAUACUUGUUUAAGUAUGUUACAAAGGGAAGCGAUAGGGCGAAGAUUUACUUUGAGGUUACUGCAAAGACACCUAAUGCAUCUCCUGGACCUCAAUUGGCUCCACGGAAUGAAAUCCAAGAAUACAUUGAUGCUAGGUUUCUAUCCUCUUGUGAAGCUCUAUGGCGUGCUUUUGAAUAUGAUAUUCACUUUAGAAUGCCUCCGGUAGAGCGAUUAUGUGUUCACCUUCCGGGAAUGAAUCAUGUGCGGUAUGAGCCAGGAGUUGACCUACGGGCGCUACUUGCUAGCCCAGCAGCAAAAAGCUCGAUGUUGACCGCGUGGUUCGAUGCAAAUGCAAAACAUGAGGACGCUAGACACUUGACAUACUGCGAUUUUCCAAAAAAAUGGACUUGGGAUGCUUCCAACCGAUGCUGGCGAAAAAGAGUACCUUGUGCUAAGAUUGGACGUAUGUACUAUGUACAUCCAGCUGCUGGUGAACUUUAUUACCUGCGCAUGCUGUUGAUGAUAGUUAAAGGCGCAACGAACUAUCCUGAUGUGAGAACCUUUAACAAUAGAGUGUACAGUACAUUUCGAGAAGCAUGUGAGGCAAGAGGUCUGCUUGAGAGCGAUAAUGAAUGGAGCCUUCUAUUUGAUGAGGCCAUAGUGUCUGCAUCAGCAUAUCAGCUUAGGCAUUUAUUUGUCACUGUGGUGCUUUUCUGUUCUGUCAGCGAUGUCCGUGCUUUUUUUUGAUAAGUACUGGCUUUACUUUACGGAUGACAUACAUAGAGGACUAAGGAAUGCGCUUGGGAACCCCAACUAUAUUGUCCCGCACGAGCAACUAAUGAACCUACUUAUACAAAAAUUAACAGACCUUUUUGCUAAUAGUGGUGGCAACAUAAAUAACUACAACUUACCAAAGCUAACAACGUAGGGUUAUGGUGUGAAUGAUAAUAGGUUAAUUAAUGAUGAGCUUGAUUCUGAACCCUUGAUGCUAUCCAUGCAUGCUUCAUCUUUGGUGUCACAAUUAAACGCUGACCAAAAAAAUGUGUUCGAUGUAAUCACUGAACGUGUUCCAAGUGGAUCUGCUGGUUUUUUCUUUGUGUGUGGCCAUGGUGGCACUGUCAAAACUUUCUUAUGGAAUGCUAUAAUCGCGAGAUUACGAUCUGAAAAGAAAAUAGUGCUUGCUGUUGCAUCAUCUGGUGUAGCAUCUUUGCUACUGCCUAGAGGACGAACUGCACACUCUAGGUUUAAAAUACCUUUCGACAUAACCGAGGCUGCCACGUGUAGUGUGAAAAGAGGUACAAUGCUUGCUGAACUUAUACAAGUGGCUGCCCUCAUUAUAUGGGAUGAAGCUCCAAUGACUCACCGCCGUUGUUUUGAGGCAUUAGACAGAACUAUGAGAGAUAUCCUUUCUGAGCAUAACCCAGCCAAUGCAUUGCUUCCUUUUGGAGGCAUGCCCGUUGUCCUUGGCCGUGACUUCAGGCAGAUCCUACCAGUAGUUCGCAAAGGCUCACGAUCCACUAUCGUUGCUGCAUCUAUCACAAAUUCUAAGUUAUGGCAACAUGUAGUGCUUUUAAAAUUGCAUACAAAUAUGCGACUUCUGAACCCCACAUUAGAAGGAAACCAGCGAGAUGAACUUGAACAGUUUAGCAAGUGGGUCAGUUUUACAAGGCUUCCUGAGAAGACUUUCAUAUGGAGUGUCAGUUUUACAGAGAGCACAAUAGACUCAGGAAAUGUUACCUUUCAAGUUAAUGCAGUGGUAGGAGAAAUAAAUGAUGGAAGUGCUACCAUUCCAGCAACACCAGACGGAUCCCAAGCAUCCUCUCUCAUGCUCUCAGGAGGUGCAGGCACAAGCAUACAGAAUACUCCUAAAAAAAGUCAUGCCUUGACUUUAUCCUCGCUGCCUGCUACUUCUGAACCUAGCCUUGCCUCAAGCGCCACACCAGCCAAACAACAUUUCCUGCUUCUGAGCCACCCGAGACUCCUCAGAGUGUAAGGAGCAAUGCUCAUGAUAAGGACAAGGCUUUGGCUUGCACUGCAGAUGCCCCUGGUGAUUCUCCUACACAAACACAGGGGGGAAGUGCUCGUGAUGAGGACAAGACUUUGGCUUCCAUUGCACAUGCCGCUGGUGGGUCUUCUACAAAGACACAGAAAAGCACUACAAAGAAGAGGUCUCGCCCAUCUGCUAACAAAAAUGUUGCUAAAAAACUUUUCAUUCAUGGGCAAGCUGGAGAUGACAGUGGCAGCGGUAACGAUGCUGCAGAUGCUCCUGAUCAGACCAGUCCAAGCAAGGAUGAUGCAUGAGCAGUGAAGCUCAUGUUGCUUUUGUCUCUACCGGUUGCAGCUGGCUUUUGUGUGCCCUUCCUCCAUCAAGAAGAGUCCAAUGCAUGGGACCUAGAGUCUGCAUUGACCUCAAUCUGCAAACCGUGUAGCAUGGUGAUUAGCUUUUGGUUUCAGAUAGUAUUCAAAACUACCAGCUAGGUUGUUUGGUAGUUAUGCAUACUUGCUGUUACAUGUAGAUUUAAGGUGCUCGGAUGUGCUGUAAUAUUGAUGCUCCAAAUGCCGAACAGACACCUGAUGAUAGGUUAGUUUCAUGCUCGGAUGUAACCAUGGUGAUCGGAUGUACUGUAAUGAUGAUUGAAAUGUUGCCGGACAGACACCUGAUGGAUAGGAUAGCCUGGUGCUCGGAUGUGAUGUCAUGUGAUGUGAUGGCUAGCAUAGUUUGGUGCUCGGAUGUGCUGUAAUAUUUAUGGUUCAAAUGCCGGAUAAACACCUAUGUUAAUAUGUUCAUGAUCUGCUUGCUAUCGAAUGUGUUGGCUUCGUAUUGAA